This 720-nucleotide ribosomal RNA is filed under the name Lactiplantibacillus plantarum. RNAcentral's name for it is "bacterial SSU rRNA". It matches the Rfam family "Bacterial small subunit ribosomal RNA", at positions 554 to 1274 of the family's 1533-position model. Lineage: Bacteria; Bacillati; Bacillota; Bacilli; Lactobacillales; Lactobacillaceae. The record is from RNAcentral.
CUGGGUGUAUANCGAGCGCACGGGCUUUGUAAUCUGUGAGGUGAACCCCUUCGCCUCACCGGACGAAGUGCUUCGGAACCUGGGANNCUUGAGCGCAGAAGAGNNCAGUGGAUCUCCAUGUGUAGCGGUGAAAUGCGUAGAUAUAUGGAAGACCACCAGUGGUGAAGGCGGCUGUCUGGUCUGUAACUGACGCUGAGGCUCGAAAGUAUGGGUAGCAAUCAGGAUUAGAUACCAUGGUAGUCCAUACCGUAAACGAUGAAUGCUAAGUGUUGGAGGGUUUCCGCCCUUCAGUGCUGCAGCUAACGCAUUAAGCAUUCCGCCUGGGGAGUACGGCCGCAAGGCUGAAACUCAAAGGAAUUGACGGGGGCCCGCACAAGCGGUGGAGCAUGUGGUUUAAUUCGAAGCUACGCGAAGAACCUUACCAGGUCUUGACAUACUAUGCAAAUCUAAGAGAUUAGACGUUCCCUUCGGGGACAUGGAUACAGGUGGUGCAUGGUUGUCGUCAGCUCGUGUCGUGAGAUGUUGGGUUAAGUCCCGCAACGAGCGCAACCCUUAUUAUCAGUUGCCAGCAUUAAGUUGGGCACUCUGGUGAGACUGCCGGUGACAAACCGGAGGAAGGUGGGGAUGACGUCAAAUCAUCAUGCCCCUUAUGACCUGGGCUACACACGUGCUACAAUGGAUGGUACAACGAGUUGCGAACUCGCGAGAGUAAGCUAAUCU